UACAGAGGGGGCAAGCGUUGUUCGGAAUUACUGGGCGUAAAGGGCGCGUAGGUGGCCUUCUAAGUUGAACGUGAAAUCCCUGGGCUCAACCCAGGAACUGCGUCCAAGACUGGGAGGCUUGAAUCCGGGAGAGGGAUGCGGAAUUCCAGGUGUAGCGGUGAAAUGCGUAGAUAUCUGGAGGAACACCGGUGGCGAAAGCGGCUCACUGGAUCUUUUCUGACGCUGAGGCACGAAAGCUAGGGUAGCGAACGGG
RNAcentral lists this ribosomal RNA (253 nucleotides) under uncultured bacterium. RNAcentral's name for it is "partial 16S ribosomal RNA". It matches the Rfam family "Bacterial small subunit ribosomal RNA", at positions 524 to 776 of the family's 1533-position model. The record is from RNAcentral.